UGUAGAUUGAAAACAUUUUUUAAUUCAUACAAAUGGCAUAAAAAUGUCAGGGUAGAAGGAAACAUUUGAGUUGAUACAAACAUCCCCCCCUCUCCCUCAUAAUAAAUACGGUAGGCCUACAAAUCUGAUCCACAUCCACAACAUUUCUUCUUUCAUUUUCCACACAGUGCAAAAAAACAGGUGCAUCUUCUGAGAGGUGCACCCAACAACAACAACAACAACAAACGCGCAAAGUAACCCUGUCGUUGCCGUUGACAGCUAUUGUUCUUGGACACAAAGGAAGAGGCUCCUUGGAUCGCAGGCGGCUCAUGCCAACCAACGAAUAAAGGCGCCUCAAUUAAAAACAAAAGCACGUGCAAAAGAAGAGAACACAGGAUUUCGACAGUGUCAACAUGAAAGGCUAUUCAAUUCAUACAUCAUUACAAUUAUUAGACUCGUAAAAAACAACAUUCCCAUGUGUGUGGAAACAGUGUUCGCCGUGCGUAAUGGUGAGCAGUGUCAGCGGAUAGGCUACUAAGAAUCCAUAUAUUUUGUGUAGGCUACAGUGUGCAAUGUUCGUAGCUUGCCUUAUCACAUCAUAUUAAAGUCUUAUAAUAUGAGAAGCAUUCGUCAGCAGCUUUUUAGGUGCGGAAGGGUAGAUAGUUUGUCCACUUUCCCAAAAGCAGCGGCGCUUUCCACUCCUUUCAGCCAUUCUUUGCAUUUCCUCACCACCGUCUCAUCCACAUCGCCGUCUUCUUCUUCAUAUUCCACGUCAUCGUAUUUAUACUGAUCAUUUAGUAAAGAUAUUUUGACUAUGGUUGUAAUGUCCUCUGCGUGUUCCAGAUUGGCGACGGGAAUGGUCGAGCUUUUGGAACCACCUUGAGUCCGUUUGGAUGGAAAGACUCGCCUGUGCCGAAAGUCUACGGACACACAACCCUUCUGCUGUUUGGCUAGCAUUUGUUUUUCUAAGCUGCGCUUCUGAAUAACGAGAAUGGCCUCCGGUGUGAGGCUCAGAGAGAAUUGAAUCUUCCUUUCUUCUCCUGUCUCGUCCUUUCCUAUGGAACUCCGAGAGGACUGCUUGCCCCUGUCCCGGUGCGUGGUGGAUUCCACAGAAUUGUACAGCGGAACGCUCUCGCACGAGUCUUGAGAUUGUUUGGGUAAAGUUAGCCAGGAGCUCUUUAAACCUUCUGUCUCCUGAAUCGGGAGUUUAGUUUUCUGUUGUUGGGGUUUUCGCCCCAAAUUCCUCAGAUUGGCCGCAGUCCAAGACUUCGAGAUCUUUUCCUUCUCCGAGAUCUUUUCCUCCGUCUGUUUCUUUUUCCUGAACAGCUCUCUCCCGGGAGAAGAGAUUCGUUGAUGGAGAUUUAUCGGCGGAAAAGGCAUUAUUGGGAUUUAAAAGUGAUCCGACCACAAAAGCAACGUCUUCUAUUAAACAGAAUAAUAACUUUAAACUCUAAGACUGUAAAUAAAUAUACUGUAUUCCAAUUGCAUUAUCCGAUCAAGUAAAAAUGAGGUAUCUUGAAUGCCGUAAUGUGCAACAGCGCUAUAAUCCGUUUGGUAAUUCAACUGGUGUGAAUGUGCGGUUUGUCUGGUAUUUAUAAGGCUCGUCGGUGGGAGGCGUGUCCACGGUAAGAGCGGAGGAGCCGAAGCACGCGGCUAAACAAAGGCAACAACCGAAUAAAAACAAGCGUGGCUUCUGCGGUGGCCUUUAGGAUAGUGAUGUCAUUCAUUCCAUGUAUUACUUUACAUGUAACCGUGUUCUUGUUGAAUGUAAAAAUAACAAAUACAAACUGACCAAUAACAUGAUAGUGUUACUAUUCAGGGGACUGUUAUUACAGGGCUGAGGUCAAUUCCAAUUUACAUUUCAGUAGAAUGUUCACGUUUCCAUUCAGUUCAUCCACUGAAAUUAAAAUUUAAACCAAAUAAAUUAGAUGAAAGAUAUAAAGAACACACACACAAUAUUGUUAUAGCUAUUUAUAAUUUCCCAGUGACAAAUGUCCAUUUACUCAUGUAACCGAGUAUGUCUGGUAUAGAUCCAUCUGCCGUUUCUCUGUUCGGGAACCAUUUCUAGGUCGAAACCUGAUUGUCAAUCGUCUAG
Molecule: long non-coding RNA, 2074 nt
Filed under: Salmo salar (Atlantic salmon)
Lineage: Eukaryota; Metazoa; Chordata; Actinopteri; Salmoniformes; Salmonidae
Description: lncRNA (ENSSSAG00000094370.1)
Source: RNAcentral